RNAcentral lists this ribosomal RNA (549 nucleotides) under uncultured Pseudomonadaceae bacterium. RNAcentral's name for it is "SSU rRNA". It matches the Rfam family "Bacterial small subunit ribosomal RNA", at positions 29 to 573 of the family's 1533-position model. Lineage: Bacteria; Pseudomonadati; Pseudomonadota; Gammaproteobacteria; Pseudomonadales; Pseudomonadaceae. The record is from RNAcentral.
UUGAACGCUGGCGGCAGGCCUAACACAUGCAAGUCGAGCGGAUGAAGGGAGCUUGCUCCUGGAUUCAGCGGCGGACGGGUGAGUAAUGCCUAGGAAUCUGCCUGGUAGUGGGGGAUAACGUCCGGAAACGGGCGCUAAUACCGCAUACGUCCUGAGGGAGAAAGUGGGGGAUCUUCGGACCUCACGCUAUCAGAUGGGCCUAGGUCGGAUUAGCUAGUUGGUGGGGUAAAGGCCUACCAAGGCGACGAUCCGUAACUGGUCUGAGAAGAUGAUCAGUCACACUGGAACUGAGACACGGUCCAGACUCCUACGGGAGGCAGCAGUGGGGAAUAUUGGACAAUGGGCGAAAGCCUGAUCCAGCCAUGCCGCGUGUGUGAAGAAGGUCUUCGGAUUGUAAAGCACUUCAAGUUGGGAGGAAGGGCAGUAAGUUAAUACCUUGCUGUUUUGACGUUACCAACAGAAUAAGCACCGGCUAACUUCGUGCCAGCAGCCGCGGUAAUACGAAGGGUGCAAGCGUUAAUCGGAAUUACUGGGCGUAAAGCGCGCGUA